Molecule: ribosomal RNA, 237 nt
Filed under: uncultured bacterium
Lineage: Bacteria
Description: partial 16S ribosomal RNA
Rfam family: Bacterial small subunit ribosomal RNA
Source: RNAcentral
UGAGCAAUCUGCCCUUCUCUUUGGAAUAAGCGUGGGAAACCGCGUCUAAUGCCGAAUACGACCUCCUUUCGCAUGAUCGGAGGUGGAAAGCUCCGGCGGAGAAGGAUGAGCUCGCGGCCUAUCAGCUAGUUGGUGUGGGUAAUGGCCCACCAAGGCGACGACGGGUAGCCGGCCUGAGAGGGUGACCGGCCACACUGGGACUGAGAUACGGCCCAGACCUCCGUACGGGAGGNAGCG